RNAcentral lists this ribosomal RNA (428 nucleotides) under uncultured bacterium. RNAcentral's name for it is "partial 16S ribosomal RNA". It matches the Rfam family "Bacterial small subunit ribosomal RNA", at positions 354 to 796 of the family's 1533-position model. The record is from RNAcentral.
GUGGGGAAUAUUGCGCAAUGGGCGAAAGCCUGACGCAGCGACGCCGCGUGAGGGAAGAAGGCCUUCGGGUUGUAAACCUCUGUCCUUGGUGACGAAAAAAAUGACGGUAGCCAAGGAGGAAGCCCCGGCUAACUACGUGCCAGCAGCCGCGGUAAUACGUAGGGGGCGAGCGUUGUCCGGAAUUACUGGGCGUAAAGGGUGCGUAGGUGGCCUUUUAAGUUGGAUGUGAAAUACCCGGGCUUAACUUGGGGGGUGCAUCUAAUACUGGAGGGCUAGAGUGCAGGAGAGGGAAGCGGAAUUCCUAGUGUAGCGGUGAAAUGCGUAGAUAUUAGGAGGAACACCAGUGGCGAAGGCGGCUUUCUGGACUGUAACUGACACUGAGGCACGAAAGCGUGGGGAGCAAACAGGAUUAGAAACCCGGGUAGUCC